RNAcentral lists this ribosomal RNA (299 nucleotides) under uncultured bacterium. RNAcentral describes it as "partial 16S ribosomal RNA". It matches the Rfam family "Bacterial small subunit ribosomal RNA", at positions 337 to 633 of the family's 1533-position model. The record is from RNAcentral.
ACCUACGGGGGGCAGCAGUGAUUAAUCUUUGUCAAUUUUCUUCAGCCUGAACCAGCCAAGUCGCGUGAGGGAAUAAGGCCCUACGGGUCGUAAACCUCUUUUGCCGGGGAGCAAGGGCGGGGACGUGUCCCGGCCCGGAGAGUACCCGGAGAAAAAGCAUCGGCUAACUCCGUGCCAGCAGCCGCGGUAAUACGGAGGAUGCAAGCGUUAUCCGGAUUUAUUGGGUUUAAAGGGUGCGUAGGCGGGCUUUUAAGUCAGCGGUAAAAAUUCGGGGCACAACCCCGUCCGGCCGUUGAAAC